This 70-nucleotide transfer RNA is filed under the name Marmota monax (woodchuck). Its description in RNAcentral is "tRNA.Ala". Lineage: Eukaryota; Metazoa; Chordata; Mammalia; Rodentia; Sciuridae. The record is from RNAcentral.
GGGGAUGUGGCUCAAGGGUAGUGCGCUCUCCUGGCAUGUGUGUGGCCCGAGUUCGAUCCUCAGCACCACA